UUUCAUAGAAACAGCAAUUAGGCAUUGGGUUUUACCUGCGCAGGUUCGAAUCCUGUCUGUGACGUAGGCAUUGGGUUUUACCUGCGCAGGUUCGAAUCCUGUCUGUGACG
RNAcentral lists this transfer RNA (110 nucleotides) under Naumovozyma dairenensis CBS 421. Its description in RNAcentral is "tRNA-Ser". The record is from RNAcentral. Lineage: Eukaryota; Fungi; Ascomycota; Saccharomycetes; Saccharomycetales; Saccharomycetaceae.